UGGGGAAUAUUGCACAAUGGGCGCAAGCCUGAUGCAGCCAUGCCGCGUGUGUGAAGAAGGCCUCGGGUUGUAAAGCACUUUCAGCGAGGAGGAAGGUGGUGAGCUUAAUACGCUCAUCAAUUGACGUUACUCGCAGAAGAAGCACCGGCUAACUCCGUGCCAGCAGCCGCGGUAAUACGGAGGGUGCAAGCGUUAAUCGGAAUUACUGGGCGUAAAGCGCACGCAGGCGGUUUGUUAAGUCAGAUGUGAAAUCCCCGGGCUCAACCUGGGAACUGCAUUUGAAACUGGCAAGCUAGAGUCUCGUAGAGGGGGGUAGAAUUCCAGGUGUAGCGGUGAAAUGCGUAGAGAUCUGGAGGAAUACCGGUGGCGAAGGCGGCCCCCUGGACGAAGACUGACGCUCAGGUGCGAAAGCGUGGGGCAGCAAACAGGAUUAGAUACCCUGGUAGUCCACGCUGUAAAACGAUGUCGAUUUUGGAGGUUGUGCCCCUUGAGGCGUGGCUUCCGGAGCUAACGCGUUAAAUCGACCGCCUGGGGAGUACGGCCNCAAGGUUAAAACUCAAAUGAAUUG
Molecule: ribosomal RNA, 568 nt
Filed under: uncultured bacterium
Lineage: Bacteria
Description: partial 16S ribosomal RNA
Rfam family: Bacterial small subunit ribosomal RNA
Source: RNAcentral